RNAcentral lists this long non-coding RNA (996 nucleotides) under Cairina moschata (Muscovy duck). RNAcentral describes it as "domestica (muscovy Duck (domestic type)) lncRNA (ENSCMMG00000005085.1)". Lineage: Eukaryota; Metazoa; Chordata; Aves; Anseriformes; Anatidae. The record is from RNAcentral.
UUUAUUUUUACAUGAAAAAGCAACACUGAUAUUUCCUUCUGACAUUUAACUCAGUCAAUAAGUGACAAAUCAAAUAAACAUUCCUGUUUCACUGGGACAAAAGCUCCAAGAUCCUGCUGCGACUAAAAUGUUUCAUCAUUUCCGAAGUCAAAUGUUUCAGUUAGGAGAGAGAAAAAAAAAAUAAAAAUGGUGCAUUUCAAUGUUUUUCUAAUUAUUUCCCCCAUUUUGGCUGAAGCUAUUAGACAAAUUUGGCCCCACUUUGCAAAUAGUUUUGGAAGCUUCCAAAACUUCUAUUUUGGUGACUUUUCCCAUCAUUAAUGAAUAAUAGCUUGAUCUCUGCCCUGCUCACCAGCUGAGAUCUUGUUCACCCCCCUGUGCUCAUCCUUCCAGGUUUGCUGCUUGGUCCUGCCCAGGUGGCUGGGGCCAUGUCUAUGCUGCAUGGCCUUGCUGCUACUCACACCAGGACACCACAAGGGGUGUUCCUGCCUUUUCCCAUGCUGGGUGUAAGCUGAAAGGCAUAUGGGUGUGUAUUGGGUGCUCCUGCAUGCACUGGCUGUGACACUUGUGUUCUUCUGUGUCCUUCUCAGGUUUGGAUGAAGCCCUGCAACACAGUGGUGGUGCAGGAUCUUCUCCAGAAGGCCCAGCAGUUCCACCAAUGGCAAACCCAAGUUAAUGCUCCCUGCUGGUCCCUUGUGGUCCCCAGCAUGCAGUGUUUGCUGGAUCCCAGGAGCCAAGUCAGCCUGCUGCAUGGAACGAAGAGAACCCAGGACAAGCUUCUGUCUCUGGACACCUUUUAACCUGUCAGUAGCUGAUGGCCUCAAGAUCUGCACACACUCAAAAAGGUGAGUUUUGACCCCUGCCCAAUGCUUGGUCCAGCAAAUCCAUGCUUGUUUUUGCAGGCGACGAGGAGCAAGCAUGCCAGCAAUGUUCCCAGUGGUCUGUACAAACACGGGAAUUGAUGGGCUAGAGCUGACUGGCUGUUAAUUCAUGAGCAGG